This 301-nucleotide ribosomal RNA is filed under the name uncultured bacterium. RNAcentral's name for it is "partial 16S ribosomal RNA". It matches the Rfam family "Bacterial small subunit ribosomal RNA", at positions 509 to 807 of the family's 1533-position model. The record is from RNAcentral.
CAGUAGCCGCGGUAAAACGUAGGGUGCAAGCGUUGUCCGGAAUUAUUGGGCGUAAAGAGCGUGUAGGCGGCUCGACAAGUCCGCUGUGAAAGUCCAGGGCUCAACCCUGGAAUGCCGGUGGAUACUGUCGAGCUAGAGUCCGGAAGGGGCGAGUGGAACUCCUGGUGUAGCGGUGAAAUGCGCAGAUAUCAGGAAGAACACCAAUGGCGAAGGCAGCUCGCUGGGACGUGACUGACGCUGAGACGCGAAAGCGUGGGGAGCGAACAGGAUUAGAUACCCCCGUAGUCCCUGUCUCUUAUAC